GUUAACGUAGCAAAACCCGGUUUUGCAGAGGGCCUAAGCCCUUCGGAUAGAAGUUCAAAUCUUCUCGCUAACU
Molecule: transfer RNA, 73 nt
Filed under: Strabomantis biporcatus (Puerto Cabello robber frog)
Lineage: Eukaryota; Metazoa; Chordata; Amphibia; Anura; Strabomantidae
Description: tRNA-Leu
Rfam family: tRNA
About the family: Transfer RNA (tRNA) molecules are approximately 80 nucleotides in length. Their secondary structure includes four short double-helical elements and three loops (D, anti-codon, and T loops). Further hydrogen bonds mediate the characteristic L-shaped molecular structure. tRNAs have two regions of fundamental functional importance: the anti-codon, which is responsible for specific mRNA codon recognition, and the 3' end, to which the tRNAs corresponding amino acid is attached (by aminoacyl-tRNA synthetases). tRNAs cope with the degeneracy of the genetic code in two manners: having more than one tRNA (with a specific anti-codon) for a particular amino acid; and 'wobble' base-pairing, i.e. permitting non-standard base-pairing at the 3rd anti-codon position.
Source: RNAcentral